Small nuclear RNA from Phodopus roborovskii (desert hamster), 107 nucleotides. NCBI's taxonomy places the organism in Eukaryota, Metazoa, Chordata, Mammalia, Rodentia, Cricetidae. The record is from RefSeq and is a predicted model, not a curated record.
GUGCUGGCUUCAGCAGUAUAUACACUAAAACUGGAAUGAUAUAGAGAAGAUUAGCAUGUCCCCUACACAAGGAUGACAUGCAAAAAAAAAAUCAUGAAGCUUUCCAU